AAGCAGUGGGUGUAAUCCCUAUUUCAUCCCUGGUAUCAUUUCAGUAGACGAGUUUUGUUGGUUUCCCCAGCCGAGUUUGUUGGCCUCCCUUGAGUUGUAGACGUGUUAUUUCGGCAGUUUGCACAGCUUUGGCAGAACUUUAAUUCCCCCGCAAAUCGUCAAAGUUACACCUGAUUUUGAGUAGUUAUUAUGUUAAUCCCCUGCAGGGUUGUCUCCCAUUUGAUAUGGUGUUGACCUAAUUCCCCAUCGAGUUUG
RNAcentral lists this long non-coding RNA (255 nucleotides) under Lathyrus oleraceus (garden pea). RNAcentral's name for it is "Pisum sativum (pea) long non-coding RNA (PSAT_LNC001378)". The record is from RNAcentral. Lineage: Eukaryota; Viridiplantae; Streptophyta; Magnoliopsida; Fabales; Fabaceae.